RNAcentral lists this ribosomal RNA (584 nucleotides) under uncultured bacterium. Its description in RNAcentral is "partial 16S ribosomal RNA". It matches the Rfam family "Bacterial small subunit ribosomal RNA", at positions 355 to 937 of the family's 1533-position model. The record is from RNAcentral.
UGGGGAAUUUUGGACAAUGGGCGAAAGCCUGAUCCAGCAAUGCCGCGUGUGUGAAGAAGGCCUUCGGGUUGUAAAGCACUUUUGUCCGGAAAGAAAUCCUUGGCUCUAAUACAGUCGGGGGAUGACGGUACCGGAAGAAUAAGCACCGGCUAACUACGUGCCAGCAGCCGCGGUAAUACGUAGGGUGCAAGCGUUAAUCGGAAUUACUGGGCGUAAAGCGUGCGCAGGCGGUUUGCUAAGACCGAUGUGAAAUCCCCGGGCUCAACCUGGGAACUGCAUUGGUGACUGGCAGGCUAGAGUAUGGCAGAGGGGGGUAGAAUUCCACGUNUAGCAGUGAAAUGCGUAGAGAUGUGGAGGAAUACCGAUGGCGAAGGCAGCCCCCUGGGCCAAUACUGACGCUCAUGCACGAAAGCGUGGGGAGCAAACAGGAUUAGAUACCCUGGUAGUCCACGCCCUAAACGAUGUCAACUAGUUGUUGGGGAUUCAUUUCCUUAGUAACGUAGCUAACGCGUGAAGUUGACCGCCUGGGGAGUACGGUCGCAAGAUUAAAACUCAAAGGAAUUGACGGGGUCAUAGCUGUUUCC